This 465-nucleotide ribosomal RNA is filed under the name Vreelandella stevensii. Its description in RNAcentral is "partial 16S ribosomal RNA". It matches the Rfam family "Bacterial small subunit ribosomal RNA", at positions 338 to 795 of the family's 1533-position model. Lineage: Bacteria; Pseudomonadati; Pseudomonadota; Gammaproteobacteria; Oceanospirillales; Halomonadaceae. The record is from RNAcentral.
CCUACGGGGGGCAGCAGUGGGGAAUAUUGGACAAUGGGGGCAACCCUGAUCCAGCCAUGCCGCGUGUGUGAAGAAGGCCCUCGGGUUGUAAAGCACUUUCAGUGAGGAAGAACGCCUGGUGGUUAAUACCCAUCAGGAAAGACAUCACUCACAGAAGAAGCACCGGCUAACUCCGUGCCAGCAGCCGCGGUAAUACGGAGGGUGCGAGCGUUAAUCGGAAUUACUGGGCGUAAAGCGCGCGUAGGUGGCUUGAUAAGCCGGUUGUGAAAGCCCCGGGCUCAACCUGGGAACGGCAUCCGGAACUGUCAAGCUAGAGUGCAGGAGAGGAAGGUAGAAUUCCCGGUGUAGCGGUGAAAUGCGUAGAGAUCGGGAGGAAUACCAGUGGCGAAGGCGACCUUCUGGACUGACACUGACACUGAGGUGCGAAAGCGUGGGUAGCAAACAGGAUUAGAUACCCCGGUAGUC